GGUGCAGGCGGUCUGCCAAGUCGGAUGUGAAAUCUCCCGGCUCAACCGGGAGGGUGCAUUCGAAACUGACGGGACUAGAGUGCAGCAGAGGAAGAUGGAAUUCCCGGUGUAGUGGUGAAAUGCGUAGAUAUCGGGAAGAACACUAGUGGCGAAGGCGGUCUUCUGGGCUGUAACUGACGCUGAGGCCCGAAGGCGUGGGGAGCAAACAGGAUUAGAUACCCUGGUAGUCCACGCAGUAAACGAUGGAUACUAGGUAUGGGGAGUAUCGACCCUCUCCGUGCCGAAGCUAACGCUUUAAGUAUCCCGCCUGGGGAGUACGGUCGCAAGACUAAA
RNAcentral lists this ribosomal RNA (333 nucleotides) under uncultured bacterium. Its description in RNAcentral is "bacterial SSU rRNA". It matches the Rfam family "Bacterial small subunit ribosomal RNA", at positions 568 to 898 of the family's 1533-position model. The record is from RNAcentral.